GAUGAAGACGUAGCGAAAUGCGAUAAGUAAUGUGAAUUGCAGAAUUCAGUGAAUCAUCGAAUCUUUGAACGCACAUUGCGCCCGCCAGUAUUCUGGCGGGCAUGCCUGUUCGAGCGUCAUUUCAACCAUCAAGCCCUGCUUGCGUUGGGGUCCUGCGGCUGCCCGCAGGCCCUGAAAACCAGUGGCGGGCUCGCUAGUCACACCGAGCGCAGUAAUACAUCUCGCUUUGGGCGUGCGGCGGGUUCUUGCCGUUAAACACCCCCUUUUUACCAAGGUUGACCUCGGAUCAGGUAGGAAUACCCGCUGAACUUAAGCAUAUCAAUAAGCGGAGGA
RNAcentral lists this unclassified non-coding RNA (333 nucleotides) under soil metagenome. RNAcentral describes it as "partial contains 5.8S ribosomal RNA, internal transcribed spacer 2, and large subunit ribosomal RNA". The stretch from base 1 to 119 matches the Rfam family "5.8S ribosomal RNA", at positions 35 to 154 of the family's 154-position model. The record is from RNAcentral.